GAGGAAUAUUGGUCAAUGGACGAGAGUCUGAACCAGCCAAGUAGCGUGAAGGAUGACUGCCCUAUGGGUUGUAAACUUCUUUUAUACGGGAAUAAAGUGGAGUAUGCAUACUCCUUUGUAUGUACCGUAUGAAUAAGGAUCGGCUAACUCCGUGCCAGCAGCCGCGGUAAUACGGAGGAUCCGAGCGUUAUCCGGAUUUAUUGGGUUUAAAGGGAGCGUAGGCGGGUGCUUAAGUCAGUCGUGAAAGUUUGCGGCUCAACCGUAAAAUUGCAGUUGAUACUGGGCGCCUUGAGUGCAGCAUAGGUAGGCGUAAUUCGUGGUGUAGCGGUGAAAUGCUUAGAUAUCACGAAGAACUCCGAUUGCGAAGGCAGCUUACUGGACUGUAACUGACGCUGAUGCUCGAAAGUGUGGGUAUCAAAC
RNAcentral lists this ribosomal RNA (420 nucleotides) under uncultured bacterium. Its description in RNAcentral is "bacterial SSU rRNA". It matches the Rfam family "Bacterial small subunit ribosomal RNA", at positions 356 to 773 of the family's 1533-position model. The record is from RNAcentral.